CGAACACACCUGGGGUUCUCCUCCCCCGCUCCAUCGAUCUCUCUCUCUCUGACUGUGUGUGUGUGUGUGUGUGCGUGUGCCAACCUCAUCGCUGAGCUCAAGCUUUGUGGUGUACUGCGCAGCCCGGACAUGCAAACGAAGCGCCACAGCAAGGAGGGUGAUCGAGCCUUUCAGUGAGAACUGUUUUAAAAUCUGCAUCGCUCUCCUGCAGCUGAUUUUGCUGGUGCUGCGUGCCGUGGCGUCGUGUGUUGGGGCAGCAGCUGCGUAGCCCAUGGAGCUGGGCAAACUUGUCACCACGGAGUCUCGUGGGUGUAUCUACUACUUUAUCAUCGAUGACGUGCAUCCCGAUGAGCCGCAGCACGAUGCACUAAAGCACUACUACGUGGUCACUGCCACGUCUUCGAGUUUUUCGUAUCGAGAGGCCUACGGCGUGCUCUGUCGUGCCCUUUGCAGCUUGGAUAAUCGCACCUUCCUUCAUCGGUGGCACUCGCUGUAUGAGCAAAUUUUUGGCACGACACCAUAUGUGCAGUUCAUGGACGCCGUACGGAAUAGCCCGCUGGUGUGCCUGGACACCUUUGCACCCCAAGACGAAGGUGGCAGCAACAAUGGUAAUGGCCACGCUACCGCUGCGAGGCCGCUUUCGGUGGCUUGUGCGCCCGGACCCGGCAGUUCCGGCUCCUCCUCUUCCUCCACUUGCCCCUCUGGCACGGUGGCCCUCUUCUCAAACGAGGCGACUGCGCGGCUCGCACUGCGGAGGAUUCUGGACGCCGAGCAGCAGCAGCCACACUGCUCGCCUAACGCGAGCGGAGCCCGAAGCCCUCAUCAUCAGCACGGAUGUUGCACCCCUAUACACGCGCAGCCCGCAUCCAUUAAUGGUGACGCAAAUCAUGGCCUUCCGGCUCCUCAUCAGCCGAUGUUGAACGGAGGCACCGCAGGCAUCGGCUGCGCCAACCAAGUUGAGGACCCGGCUGGUCCUGCAGCCAUUAGCAAUCGCACCGAACCACAACAGGAGGUGAACGGCUUGCUCGACUUGGCCUCUCGCUGGAGGUUGGAUGCGUGCUGCUCUGCAACCGACGCCAAGGGUGCAAUGCACGAGCUUCAGCGCCAGCUGCAGCAGGAGCGCAAGCGCCGCGUGGAGGCAGAGCAACACCGUCACCUUCUCUCACGACUGCUGGACGAGGUGUCGCGCCCAAACACCAGAGAAAAGCAGACAGCCGCCGCUGCCGCUCUCUCUACUCCAGAGCAGCAUGGCGCACUGGAAGAGCUACAGCAGCAGGUGCACGCACUACAACGAAAGCUCUCCGAGGAGCGAACGAGGCACUCGAAGCAGCUUGAGGAACUCCUUUCACAGAAUGAGCAGCUCAAGAAGCGGUUAGGACAGCAGCAUCGAGAGCAGAGUGCUCGAAUCGAGAAGUUCCUGAAAGACAACGAAGAUGCCGUUACGCGAAUGGAGGGCGCGCUGCACAAACGAGAAGAAGAGGUGCGGGCAGUCUACACACAAGCGCUGCAGGAGCGUGACGUGCGCAUAGCCCAACUCUCGCAAGAGGUCCUUCAGCACACACACGAGGCUCGUCAGCUGGCCGCGGUGCGCAGCGACGAAGAACGGCUUCACGUCCAGCGCGCAGCACACCUCGAAGACAUGGCAGCGCAGGUGCGCGAGUGGAACCUAUCCUUGCAACGACAGCUAGCGGACGCCAAUGACGAGGUGCGGCGACUGCGUCAGCGACUCGAGGUGAUGGAUGCUGCCUCUGUCAACGAUGCCAAAGGCUGUGCGCUUGUGUCGGGGGCUGCGGGCAGCGAUCUGGCCGGAUUCUCCUUCCCCUACGGUAUGCUGCCUCGUGCGCAAGCGGUUCAGCUCGCGACGCAACUCUAUCAUUCCCAGCAGCUGCUGCAGGAGUGCAGGCAGGAGAAUGAGACCAAGUCAAACGAGCUAAUGCGAGCCGCUCAGCUGAUAGAUGCGUUGAAGGAAGGACUCCGCCGAGUCAAGGUGGACCUCGGCGCGGGCUCCACGGCUGCUGCUCCAGCCACUGCGAUGCCGUCAUCAUAGCAUGCCGCUGAGCAGGCAAUUCUUUCUGGGCUGCAGUUUGCAGAAGAGUUUGUCAUCCCUACAGCGCCUAGAGGCGCAUCCCGCGAACAAGAGGAUCACGCAUGAAUCCACGCACACACCAUAGACUGUCAGCAUAGAACGAGAACGACUGCGGCCGCCGCGCAUUCGCCGACCGGGUGGCGGUCUGUUUUGUUUUGUACUUUACAUCUCUUUCCCUCCACUGCGGGGAAAGGUGUGGGCUGCUAUGUGGCUACAACACACACCGCUGAAGCCAGAACCACGUACGGGUCAGAUGCAGCUGCUGCUGUGCGCGCGUAACAUCGUUUCCGUGCUCUGAAUGGGCGGUGCCGUGUGCAAGGACCGUCAGGGAAGGGUUCUGAAACGGCCCCCUUUUUGUGUAGAGGCGAGUAUUGCGAAUUGUGAUCUUCGGAGUCGCAUAGACGACCCUUCGACGGCUCUUUGCAUCCCUGAAGCAUGAUGCAGGUG
Molecule: unclassified non-coding RNA, 2533 nt
Filed under: Leishmania donovani
Lineage: Eukaryota; Euglenozoa; Kinetoplastea; Trypanosomatida; Trypanosomatidae
Description: gene:LdHU3.35.3560(CDS-product:hypothetical_prote in_conserved)
Source: RNAcentral